CGAUCACACAGCCUGGGGCUCCCCAAAAGCCAAUAUUAACACUGCGGAGGACAAGCAUUCCUCCCGCCGGUGGGGGACAUCCCGGCAACAACAGCACACCCUCCGCUGACUCACACAUCCCAGGGACUACAAUCUCCUAGAGUCACUGACCCCAAAAUGGCGGAUGCAACGAGCAAGCCGGCAAACGGGGGACUGCGGAGAGCAGCUGAAUAACACACUGAUCAAGCUGGACACUAUCCUUGCUGCCUUCUGGGCCGGGAUCUCGGAGAGGGCGCUGACCACAGCUAACGUCAAGCGGUCUAAUCCCGCGCAACUACACC
Non-coding RNA from Pelobates cultripes (western spadefoot toad), 320 nucleotides. The record is from the annotation of a GenBank genome assembly. NCBI's taxonomy places the organism in Eukaryota, Metazoa, Chordata, Amphibia, Anura, Pelobatidae.